This 235-nucleotide ribosomal RNA is filed under the name uncultured bacterium. RNAcentral describes it as "partial 16S ribosomal RNA". It matches the Rfam family "Bacterial small subunit ribosomal RNA", at positions 15 to 236 of the family's 1533-position model. The record is from RNAcentral.
GAUCAUGGCUCAGGACGAAUGCUGGCGGCGUGCUUAACACAUGCAAGUCGAACGAUGAUGCGGUGCUUGCACCGUUGAUUAGUGGCGAACGGGUGAGUAACACGUGAGUAACCUGCCCUCUUCUUUGGGAUAACGGUCUGAAAGGGCUGCUAAUACUGAAUAUUCACAUGUCUUCGCAUGGGGGUGUGUGGAAAGAGAUGCUUUUGGGUGUUUUUGGUGGGGGAUGGGCUCGCGG